RNAcentral lists this ribosomal RNA (372 nucleotides) under uncultured organism. Its description in RNAcentral is "partial 16S ribosomal RNA". It matches the Rfam family "Bacterial small subunit ribosomal RNA", at positions 527 to 896 of the family's 1533-position model. The record is from RNAcentral.
GUAGGUGGCAAGCGUUGUCCGGAAUUAUUGGGCGUAAAGCGCGCGCAGGGCGGUCCUUUAAGUCUGAUGUGAAAGCCCACGGCUCAACCGUGGAGGGUCAUUGGAAACUGGGGGACUUGAGUACAGAAGAGGAAAGCGGAAUUCCAAGUGUAGCGGUGAAAUGCGUAGAGAUUCGGAGGAACACCAGUGGCGAAGGCGGCUUUCUGGUCUGUAACUGACGCUGAGGCGCGAAAGCGUGGGGAGCAAACAGGAUUAGAUACCCUGGUAGUCCACGCCGUAAACGAUGAGUGCUAAGUGUUAGGGGGUUUCCGCCCCUUAGUGCUGCAGCUAACGCAUUAAGCACUCCGCCUGGGGAGUACGGCCGCAAGGCUG